RNAcentral lists this transfer RNA (73 nucleotides) under Stegodyphus mimosarum. It matches the Rfam family "tRNA". Rfam says of the family: Transfer RNA (tRNA) molecules are approximately 80 nucleotides in length. Their secondary structure includes four short double-helical elements and three loops (D, anti-codon, and T loops). Lineage: Eukaryota; Metazoa; Arthropoda; Arachnida; Araneae; Eresidae. The record is from Rfam by way of RNAcentral.
GCCUUUGUAGUGUAGUGGUCAGCAUGCUUCGCACAUAUUCAAGAGGUCCAAGGUUAGAAUCCCAGCAAGGGCA